GACGAACGCUGGCGGCGCGCUUAACACAUGCAAGUCGAACGGAAAGGCCUGCUUUCCCUUGUGGAUUGCGGGUACUCGAGUGGCGAACGGGUGAGUAACACGUGAGUGAUCUGCCCCCAACUUGGGUAUAAGCCUGGGAAACUGGGUCUAAUUCCCGAUAGGACUGCAGGGUGGUGCCUGUGGUGGAAAACGAUUUUCUAGUGGUUGGGGAUGAGCUCGCGGCCUAUCAGCUUGUUGGUGGGGUAAUGGCCUACCAAGGCGGCGACGGGUAGCCGGCCUGAGAGGGUGGACGGCCACAUUGGGACUGGGAUACGGCCCAGACUCCUACGGGAGGCAGCAGUGGGGAAUAUUGCACAAUGGGCGGAAGCCUGAUGCAGCGAUGCCGCGUGGGGGAUGACGGCCUUCGGGUUGUAAACUCCUUUCGACCGCGAGGAAGCCACCUGGUUGGAAGGGUGGUGACGGUAGUGGUAGAAGAAGCACCGGCUAACUACGUG
RNAcentral lists this ribosomal RNA (494 nucleotides) under uncultured bacterium. RNAcentral's name for it is "partial 16S ribosomal RNA". It matches the Rfam family "Bacterial small subunit ribosomal RNA", at positions 28 to 507 of the family's 1533-position model. The record is from RNAcentral.